Molecule: RNA transcript, 3350 nt
Organism: Pomacea canaliculata
Lineage: Eukaryota; Metazoa; Mollusca; Gastropoda; Architaenioglossa; Ampullariidae
Exons: 5
Source: RefSeq, a predicted model, not a curated record
AGGCCGAUAAUGUCUCAGCUUCAACCACCACAUGUGCGCUCAUGUCUUGUUGUUGAUGCACCAAACACUUCCACUGCAAGCCUGUCCUGAACUGACUUUUCUCCAUUUUAAAGAAGACUUGUCGGUUGUUGAAAAUCACUUUGUCCACGUGACGUUCUGGGUGAACGUAUCGACCUGUAACGAGAAGAAUACUUCACACAGAAUACUUGUUCACACCAGGACGAAGACCGGAAGUCUAGAGUAUGACGGGACGAUUAUCUACUGGAGAGACUCGUGUACUGAGAGACCAGAGAAGUCAGUUCAGUGCAUCAGCCCAACAGGUCCAGCAGAGCUGAAUAGAACAGUGAACCGCUCUCACAUGCAGAUUGAGUGGGAGUUGAUUUCUACACACUCUGAUUCUCCUACCUUCAUACGAACGAAUCUGACUGUGUUGUAUCCACCCAAAGUCUCAAGCUUCACUAUAGAUAAAAAUGAGGCCAAUGGCAACUAUCUUAUUAAUGAAGGAAAAGCAGUUGACAUUUCCUGCUCGUUUGACAAGGGAAACCCUCAAACUGUCUUCUUCCUGUUGGAUAAAACUGGGAAAGAAAUAAAUACUUCUAGAUCAGAAGAACAACUCACACAUUCCCUGACCGUCAGAUGUCAGGAUGACUGGCCAAUUGUUGGAUGUGAAGGAGCCGGUUCAGAAAAGAACACAUCAGUGACACUUCUUGCCAAGUGUCGUCCUCAGUUUCUUGACAGGUAUCCGAGGGUUGUAGUCAGCGGAAUAUACGAAAACUGGGUGUUCAACAUAAAGUCCCACACUACAGUCGUAGAGAAAUGUCUUUUGUGGUCGUUGCCAUCUGGAAACAAUUUAAGCAGUAAAGUGAACUGUAACCUUUUGGGGGAUCCGCCUAUCCUGCUGCUGACUGUCGCCAUUUUAGGAAACGCCAGUACUAAAGAGAAAAUCUGGUCCUUAGGUCUCUAUGUUGAAGGAGGUUUUUCAGAGACAUUAGUCUUCACCAAGCAUUUAGGCGAGUAUCUUCAGCACGUUAAGUAUCUCUGGGUUAAUAAUAUUUACCCACUGCUAGACAAAACAAUAUUCUUUAACCUCAUUGUCACUCACACACACACACACACACACAGAUACAAACUGUAUUUUUCAGAGAAACUUGUCAAGAUUUUCGUACUCAGUUUGCAAUAGGAGUGCUUAUCUUGACUCGUAUUUGCAUAUUAGGCGACUUGUUCGGACAAAUUUUACAAUACACCCCGAAAAGAUGAGGGUUUUGUCUCCGUACAUAACGUUUCGGUGUGGGUGUGGGUGUACCUGAGGACGUGUGUGAACGCACAUUCGUCUUUGUCUUCUGUUCUUGCCGAUUCGAAAAGAAGUUGCUUACUUAGCAUUAAAGAAACCAGUUUUAUACGCCAACAAAAAGAUGAUCAGAAAAAUAAGAACGGUAAUAAGCUUCAUAAGCUCAACAUGAUGCCUUUUAAUUCUGCUACACUUUGCAGAGAAAAAACAUUUGUGAGUCAGAGUCAGUCAAGAGGAUCCAUUUAUUCCGUAUAUGAAAUUUUUGCUGUCAAUGGGUAUUUCCCAUGUCAUCCACAAAUAGUGGACACGAGUAAACUCGGCUAUUGAAAACGAAAGUAAAGAAAUAUCCAAACGAUCAGGAAAUACUGUUCAAGAGUUCAUGAUGACCGUCAGAAAUUUCUCUGAAAAUUAACUAUAGGAAUAGACACUGUUGAACACAAACAGCUGUUGUUGCAGGUAAGACUCCGAUUUAUUUCACACUACAAAACCAGCAAAAGGUAGCCUGCUACUAUUAUACUUUUAACUGGGAUAUUUUGUAUUUAUGUCUCUUUUCUACCCCAAUAGAUCUUCUACAUUAUAUUAUGUGGCAGCCAUUGAUAGCUGAUUUCCAACCAAACUGCAAAGAAUCAUUACUGACCUAUUCUAAUGUUUGCUUUCUUCCUCUGACUGCUAAAACAAACGCUAUUUCUAAUCCCUACAUUAGACGAUCAGUAAAAGGAAAACUUAACUAAAUCUUUGGAAGUCAGAGAGUUUCGCAGGAUUUCGCCAGUACUUGGAAAUGAUGUGGUGUGUAGACCAAAAAAGUAUCGUCUAUAGUAGUAAGGGACUCAGACCCGUCAGAUUCAAAUACGUUUGUGAAUACAUUACCCCUACAUUACUUCUCUCUCUCUUUCUACCAUUUAAAAAGGGGGUAGGUGGUGAAUAAAAAGCUAAAUCUCCUGUCACCAUGAGAGUCGGGGGUCUUGGUAAACACUGAAAAACUUUUGGACAGACUCCUAUUUGCAUGGGUAUGCGUCAUGGGCUCCUGCGGUAAUCCUGUUCCCUCCAACCUGUGUGUGAGUUCGUGUCUGUAAGCGUCAUAGGUAUGAGUUAUACAAAAUAAAUUACAUGAAUUUAAAAUCCUUAUGUCCGCCUUCGCUGGAACUCUGUAAAUAAACAUGACGACGACGACGAAGACGACGACGACGACGACGAUGAUGAUGAUGAUGAAUGAUGAUGAUGAUGAUGAUGAUGAUGAUGAUGAUGAUGAUGAUGAUGAUGAUGAUGAUGAUGAUGAUGAUGAUGAUGAUGAUGAUGAUUUGGUUUGCAGAUUUAUAUAGAACAUAAACGAGCAAUCGACAUUUGAGCCUGUGCUACCACUGCCAAGAAUGUGUGAAGACAAACGCAAUUGAAUGAUGGACAUUUGUAUCAGCUGUUACACAGAGUCGGCAUUAGAAGGCUAAAGGUGUGGCUAGUUUCGGACGAUCUCAAUGGUAGGCCUGUGCGAGUUAAAUUUCGAAAGAAAAGACGCCAGGAAAGCUAAAUUUCCCAGAAAAUGUUGUUCAUUGAUUCCUAAUCAACCAAAGCUAUAAGAAAUUAAACUAUUUUGAUUUGAAUUUCCAGGUCAUGGGCAGUGGACUAGGGCAAAGGUCUUUUUGCCUCUCAGAGGUUUGGCUGUUGUACUUAUCUUGUACCACGUAUUUAUUUGUUCCUGCUAUUUUUCAUGUCUGAUUAAAAUAGUCGAAACAAGCACAAAUGAAAACUGAAAGCGAAAAAAAGCAAAGAAAAGUGAAAGAAAAAACAAUGAAAGGAAGAAACAAAGGAAAGCAAUGAGACCAUUGUUUCUUUUUGAAACUUUAAAACCUAAUGAUAACAUCUUCCUUCCAGAAGAACGCUGGUUGUGUUUUAUGCUUUUUACUUGUUAACAAAAUAUGUUUUAUAUGUCUGCCAUACACUUGAAGAAUUUAAAUGUGUUUUUGGAGACAAGGUCUUCUCAUACUUUACGAAAAUGAACAUACCUUUCAUUGACUCUCAGGCUUACAGAUCUUGGCUUGUAUGAUUCUCACGUGAUACGAUGUCUGUG